AUUGAACGCUGGCGGCAGGCCUAACACAUGCAAGUCGAACGAGUGGCGGACGGGUGAGUAAUGUCUGGGAAACUGCCUGCUGGAGGGGGGUAACUACUGGACACGGUAGCUAAUACCGCAUACCAUCUGAUGUGCCCAGAUGGGAUUAGCUAGUUGGUGGGGUAAAGUCUCACCUAGGCGACGAUCCCUAGCUGGUCUGAGAGGAUGACAAGCAACACUGGAACUGAGACACGGUCCAGACUCCUACGUGAGGCAGCAGUGGGGAAUAUUGCACAAUGGGAGCAAGCCUGAUGCAGCCAUGCCGCGUGUAUGAAGAAGGCCUUCGUGUUGUAAAGGACUUUCAGCGGGGAGGCGGUAUCCGCAGAAGAAGCACCGGCUAACUCCGUGCCAGCAGCCGCGGUAAUUC
RNAcentral lists this ribosomal RNA (406 nucleotides) under uncultured bacterium. RNAcentral describes it as "partial 16S ribosomal RNA". It matches the Rfam family "Bacterial small subunit ribosomal RNA", at positions 30 to 526 of the family's 1533-position model. The record is from RNAcentral.